CGCACGGGUGAGUAACACGUAUCCAACCUGCCGUCUACUCUUGGACAGCCUUCUGAAAGGAAGAUUAAUACAAGAUGGCAUCAUGAGUCCGCAUGUUCACAUGAUUAAAGGUAUUCCGGUAGACGAUGGGGAUGCGUUCCAUUAGAUAGUAGGCGGGGUAACGGCCCACCUAGUCUUCGAUGGAUAGKGGUUMUGAGAGGAAGSUCCCCCCACAUUGGAASUGAGACACGGUCCAAACUCCUACGGGAGGCAGCAGUGAGGAAUAUUGGUCAAUGGGCGAGAGCMUGAACCAGCCAAGUAGCGUGAAGGAUGACUGCCCUAUGGGUUGUAAACUUCUUUUAUAAAGGAAUAAAGUCGGGUAUGGAUACCCGUUUGCAUGUACUUUAUGAAUAAGGAUCGGCUAACUCCGUGCCAGCAGCCGCGGUAAUACGGAGGAUCCGAGCGUUAUCCGGAUUUAUUGGGUUUAAAGGGAGCGUAGAUGGAUGUUUAAGUCAGUUGUGAAAGUUUGCGGCUCAACCGUAAAAUUGCAGUUGAUACUGGAUAUCUUGAGUGCAGUUGAGGCAGGCGGAAUUCGUGGUGUAGCGGUGAAAUGCUUAGAUAUCACGAAGAACUCCGAUUGCGAAGGCAGCCUGCUAAGC
This 638-nucleotide ribosomal RNA is filed under the name uncultured bacterium. RNAcentral's name for it is "bacterial SSU rRNA". It matches the Rfam family "Bacterial small subunit ribosomal RNA", at positions 99 to 734 of the family's 1533-position model. The record is from RNAcentral.